GCCCGGUAGUGGGGGAUAACCUGAGGAAACUCAGGCUAAUACCGCAUACGCCCUACGGGGGAAAGCAGGGGCUCUUUGGACCUUGCGCUAUCGGAUGAGCCUAUGUCGGAUUAGCUGGUUGGUGAGGUAAUGGCUCACCAAGGCGACGAUCCGUAGCUGGUCUGAGAGGAUGAUCAGCCACAUCGGGACUGAGACACGGCCCGAACUCCUACGGGAGGCAGCAGUGGGGAAUAUUGGACAAUGGGCGGAAGCCUGAUCCAGCCAUGCCGCGUGUGUGAAGAAGGCCCUCGGGUUGUAAAGCACUUUCAGUGAGGAAGAAGGCCUUCGGGUUAAUACCCCGGAGGAAGGACAUCACCCACAGCGGG
Molecule: ribosomal RNA, 365 nt
Filed under: uncultured Halomonas sp.
Lineage: Bacteria; Pseudomonadati; Pseudomonadota; Gammaproteobacteria; Oceanospirillales; Halomonadaceae
Description: bacterial SSU rRNA
Rfam family: Bacterial small subunit ribosomal RNA
Source: RNAcentral